AUAAUAAUAAUAAUAAUAAUAACCUAAAAUACAUCUGUCUAAGCAGAAAUAUGCCUAAAUGAAAACAAUAAGCCAUAUGCAUCCAUCAAUAAACACAUCAUCUUCAGCUAAAAUUCCCACCUAAAUAAAGAAUCCAUAUAUUCACAGAAAGCGAAAAAGAAUGGAAUUAACAGAGCCAAAAGGAAUCAAGCAAGGAACAGAUCUAACGAUAAAAGAAGGGAAGAGUACCGACCA
RNAcentral lists this unclassified non-coding RNA (234 nucleotides) under Hevea brasiliensis (rubber tree). The record is from RNAcentral. Lineage: Eukaryota; Viridiplantae; Streptophyta; Magnoliopsida; Malpighiales; Euphorbiaceae.